UGGGGAAUUUUGGACAAUGGGCGAAAGCCUGAUCCAGCAAUGCCGCGUGUGUGAAGAAGGCCUUCGGGUUGUAAAGCACUUUUGUCCGGAAAGAAAUCCUUGGCUCUAAUACAGUCGGGGGAUGACGGUACCGGAAGAAUAAGCACCGGCUAACUACGUGCCAGCAGCCGCGGUAAUACGUAGGGUGCAAGCGUUAAUCGGAAUUACUGGGCGUAAAGCGUGCGCAGGCGGUUUGCUAAGACCGACGUGAAAUCCCCGGGCUCAACCUGGGAACUGCAUUGGUGACUGGCAGGCUAGAGUAUGGCAGAGGGGGGUAGAAUUCCACGUGUAGCAGUGAAAUGCGUAGAGAUGUGGAGGAAUACCGAUGGCGAAGGCAGCCCCCUGGGCCAAUACUGACGCUCAUGCACGAAAGCGUGGGGAGCAAACAGGAUUAGAUACCCUGGUAGUCCACGCCCUAAACGAUGUCAACUAGUUGUUGGGGAUUCAUUCCUUAGUAACGUAGCUAACGCGUGAAGUUGACCGCCUGGGGAGUACGGUCGCAAGAUUAAAACUCAAAUGAAUUGACGGGGUCAUAGCUGUUUCC
Molecule: ribosomal RNA, 583 nt
Filed under: uncultured bacterium
Lineage: Bacteria
Description: partial 16S ribosomal RNA
Rfam family: Bacterial small subunit ribosomal RNA
Source: RNAcentral